This 350-nucleotide long non-coding RNA is filed under the name Bos indicus x Bos taurus (hybrid cattle). Its description in RNAcentral is "lncRNA (ENSBIXG00000019856.1)". The record is from RNAcentral. Lineage: Eukaryota; Metazoa; Chordata; Mammalia; Artiodactyla; Bovidae.
UGUUCAAGAUCACUCCUUGUGUUUAUUUUCAAACUUUUAACAAUCGUUACUGUUGUUUUGCUCCUUCCGUUUCAGACAACUGACUCUUCAUCUGACAUCAGCCUCAGCUUCUUUACCUGCACUUUAGCCUUGAAGAAUCUUGCCACCCAGUUUGUUUCCAGUUCCUCUUCAUUAUGGUUCUGAACAGCUGAACUUAGGCUCUGAAGUGCUAUUUUCCCAGUCUUCUCAGAAACAUGAUGACUUUAUCAGAGAUUAUGGAUGGAAGGCUCAAUUGUCACUGAGCUAGAUGGAGCCAGAAAUGACUUGGAUUUCAAGUAGAAUUGAAGAAUUUCUUUUGGAACCAAUGACAG